Molecule: long non-coding RNA, 2126 nt
Organism: Vespa velutina
Lineage: Eukaryota; Metazoa; Arthropoda; Insecta; Hymenoptera; Vespidae
Exons: 4
Source: RefSeq, a predicted model, not a curated record
GAGAGAGAGAGGGAGAGAAAAGAAAAAAAAAAAGAAAGAUGGUGGUUCUUGGUGUGAAAUAAUUAAUAAAACGGAAAAAGAUAAUCCCUACUUAAUACAUACCGUGCUGAUUUUUCGCACGCGACGCGAGCCGUACGUGCUGUACUGCGACUUGUUGAGCGACACGCGCGACAUUCUAACGACCGCCUUAUAGUCACUCUCCUCGCUCCUUCCUCGGCUCCUCUUUUUUAACGUUCAGAGUUCUAUUUUCGUAGAGUGCGCGCAGCUGCGCGCGCGCGCCGCGUUAAGAAACGGACAGAAGGAGGAGAAUCGGCCGAAAGAAUAAAGAAUAAAGUAUACGACCAGAGAGAGAGAGAGAGAGAGAGAGAGAGAGAGACGUGGACAGACAGACAGAGGGGAAGAGAGGGGAAGAGAAACGAGUAUAAACGAGUAGAGAUUCAAUAUACAGAGAGGGAGAAAGAAAGAAAGACAGACAGAGAGAGAGAGAGAGAGAGAGAGAGAGAGAGAGAGAGAGAAAGAGACAGGAUAGCGAAACAGGCCGGGAAAGAGAGAAUAGAGAGAGAGAGAGAGAGAAAGAAAGAGCGAGAGAGAGAGAGAGCAAUGAGAAACAGAAAGGUAAAGAAUAGUAUUAAGGAUGAAGGGAGGGAGGGAGAAAGGGAGGAAGGGACAAAAAGAGAGAGAGAGAGAGAGAGAGAGAGAGAGAGAGAUAGAAAGAGAGAGGAGUCCUUCUUCCCUUAGGUUCUCUCUCUCGGGUACACACACACGACAAAACUCGCGCGCGCGUCCGUCGAGAGGAGUAUAUCACUCGUCGUAAUCCGCUGCCAUGCUCGUUCUUCGCUCACGCUCAUCUGCACUUCUUCUUCCGCACACGGUGCAAGUUACUAUCGCACUGACAUAGGCACGCUCGAACGAACGAGCGUGCAUGCAUGCGUACGUACGUCGUGCGUGCGUGCGUGCGUGCGUGCGUGCCCCCGCGAAGUCAGUCUACGGUGAGUGAGUGAACGUGUACAAGGGAGAGAUGUGUGGGAAGAGGGGGGAGUGAGAGAGAGAGAGCGAUAGAGAGUGAGAAGGGCGGAGAGGGGAGAGAGUUAACACUGUGAAGCAGCGGACAACGGCGACGGCAGUGACGAUGACGGCGAAGGACAAAAUUUGAACUUGUUAAUUUUUGUUCCUUUUAAAUGAGAGAGUCUCGAUAAUUAUGGAAUAAUAGAUUUUAAAAAUAUAAUAAUAAUAAAAACAAAAAUUAGAAAAAAAAAAUAAAAGAAAAGAAAAAAGAAAAAGGUGUAUUACGUAUAGAGAAGCGUACCGAAAAGUAAUAACGGAUAAGGUCGAUUGAGAGAUCGAUUGUAUUCGAUAUAUCUCGUAGGCUCUUUUUCUCGUUUUCGAGAACACGCGCUGAUGUUGCAUAGCAGUUUUGUAAUGAUGUGUGUGUGUGUGUGUGUGUGUGUCGAGGUUACUUGUACCUUGUCCAAUAGUCACGUUUUACAAAGUAUCAAGAAAGGCCGCGAGAUAUGCCGAUAAAUGUCGUCGAUUCACGGGUUAAAAGGUACAAGAAGCGGGAGAUUCAAAUGUUCCUUCGAUCGACGAGGUUAUAAACGGAAUCUUUUCAAGUGACACACAAAACACAGAUCGUACUUCGAAGGAAGCUUUUGGAUAUUACGUAAUACAAAAAAAAAAAAAAAAAGAAAAAGGAAAAAAAAAGAGAAAAAUUGUUCCGCUCUUGUUGGGAUAAAUCGAUUUUGAAAUCGUAACCAGACUACAUUUUACUCUGCGAUCGAUGGAUAAUAGCGACACGAGUCACGUUUCAUGGAAAACCUUUACGAUGUGAACACGAAAUUAGCAAGGAGAAGGAAGGUCGAAACGAUUCUGAAAGUCGAGUAAACAGAAAUACAUUGUAUUAUGAGGCAAAUGGAAAAGUUCACAAUAACAGAAGUUAUGAUUGUAAUAUUCCAAAAAAGAAGGAUAUACACGAUGCGGGAUUUUAAAUCCUGCGUCUCUUCAUUGCAAAGACACUAUCAGAGACAUCACUGAUCGAAAAGACACUAGGAUUUCUAGUGAUUUAUAAUAAUAUUUCAAACAUUUUAUAAUAAUUUAAUCUCCAAUACAACUAAUGGGUUAUAUUUAAA